CGAACUUUCUAGAGAUAGAUUGGUGCCUUCGGGAACGCAGUGACAGGUGCUGCAUGGCUGUCGUCAGCUCGUGUUGUGAAAUGUUGGGUUAAGUCCCGUAACGAGCGCAACCCUUAUCCUUAUUUGCCAGCACUUCGGGUGGGAACUCUAAGGAGACUGCCGGUGACAAACCGGAGGAAGGUGGGGACGACGUCAAGUCAUCAUGGCCCUUACGACCAGGGCUACACACGUGCUACAAUGGUAAAUACAAAGGGACGCCAAGCCGCGAGGUGGAGCUAAUCCCAGAAAAUUUAUCGUAGUCCGGAUUGGAGUCUGCAACUCGACUCCAUGAAGUCGGAAUCGCUAGUAAUCGUGGAUCAGAAUGCCACGGUGAAUACGUUCCCGGGCCUUGUACACACCGCCCGUCACACCAUGGGAGUGGAUUGCACCAGAAGUAGUUAGUCUAACCUUCGGGGGGACGAUUACCACGGUGUGGUUCAUGACUGGGGUGAAGUCGUAACAAGGUAGCCCUAGGGGAACCUGGGGCUGGAUCACCUCCUUAAACGAA
RNAcentral lists this ribosomal RNA (547 nucleotides) under Oleiphilus sp. HI0132. RNAcentral describes it as "bacterial SSU rRNA". It matches the Rfam family "Bacterial small subunit ribosomal RNA", at positions 992 to 1533 of the family's 1533-position model. Lineage: Bacteria; Pseudomonadati; Pseudomonadota; Gammaproteobacteria; Oceanospirillales; Oleiphilaceae. The record is from RNAcentral.